RNAcentral lists this ribosomal RNA (497 nucleotides) under uncultured bacterium. RNAcentral describes it as "partial 16S ribosomal RNA". It matches the Rfam family "Bacterial small subunit ribosomal RNA", at positions 28 to 507 of the family's 1533-position model. The record is from RNAcentral.
GAUGAACGCUGGCGGCGUGCCUAAUACAUGCAAGUCGAGCGAACAGACGAGGAGCUUGCUCCUCUGACGUUAGCGGCGGACGGGUGAGUAACACGUGGAUAACCUACCUAUAAGACUGGGAUAACUUCGGGAAACCGGAGCUAAUACCGGAUAAUUUAUUGAACCGCACGGUUCAAUAGUGAAAGACGGUUUUGCUGUCACUUAUAGAUGGAUCCGCGCCGCAUUAGCUAGUUGGUAAGGUAACGGCUUACCAAGGCAACGAUGCGUAGCCGACCUGAGAGGGUGAUCGGCCACACUGGAACUGAGACACGGUCCAGACUCCUACGGGAGGCAGCAGUAGGGAAUCUUCCGCAAUGGGCGAAAGCCUGACGGAGCAACGCCGCGUGAGUGAUGAAGGUCUUCGGAUCGUAAAACUCUGUUAUUAGGGAAGAACAAAUGUGUAAGUAACUAUGCACGUCUUGACGGUACCUAAUCAGAAAGCCACGGCUAACUACGUG